This 2691-nucleotide ribosomal RNA is filed under the name Yersinia ruckeri. Its description in RNAcentral is "23S ribosomal RNA". It matches the Rfam family "Bacterial large subunit ribosomal RNA". The record is from RNAcentral. Lineage: Bacteria; Pseudomonadati; Pseudomonadota; Gammaproteobacteria; Enterobacterales; Yersiniaceae.
GGUUAAGCGACUAAGCGUACACGGUGGAUGCCUAGGCAGUCAGAGGCGAUGAAGGGCGUGCUAAUCUGCGAAAAGCGUCGGUAAGCUGAUAUGAAGCGUAAUAACCGACGAUACCCGAAUGGGGAAACCCAGUGCAAUUCGUUGCACUAUUGCAUGGUGAAUACAUAGCCAUGCAAGGCGAACCGGGGGAACUGAAACAUCUAAGUACCCCGAGGAAAAGAAAUCAACCGAGAUUCCCCCAGUAGCGGCGAGCGAACGGGGAAGAGCCCAGAGUCUGAAUCAGUUGGUGUGUUAGUGGAAGCGUCUGGAAAGUCGCACGGUACAGGGUGAUAGUCCCGUACACAAAAACACACUGGCUGUGAACUCGAUGAGUAGGGCGGGACACGUGACAUCCUGUCUGAAUAUGGGGGGACCAUCCUCCAAGGCUAAAUACUCCUGACUGACCGAUAGUGAACCAGUACCGUGAGGGAAAGGCGAAAAGAACCCCGGCGAGGGGAGUGAAAUAGAACCUGAAACCGUGUACGUACAAGCAGUGGGAGCACCUUCGUGGUGUGACUGCGUACCUUUUGUAUAAUGGGUCAGCGACUUAUAUUUUGUAGCAAGGUUAACCGAAUAGGGGAGCCGUAGGGAAACCGAGUCUUAACUGGGCGUCUAGUUGCAAGGUAUAGACCCGAAACCCGGUGAUCUAGCCAUGGGCAGGUUGAAGGUUGGGUAACACUAACUGGAGGACCGAACCGACUAAUGUUGAAAAAUUAGCGGAUGACUUGUGGCUGGGGGUGAAAGGCCAAUCAAACCGGGAGAUAGCUGGUUCUCCCCGAAAGCUAUUUAGGUAGCGCCUCGUGAACUCAUCUUCGGGGGUAGAGCACUGUUUCGGCUAGGGGUCCAUCCCGGAUUACCAAACCGAUGCAAACUCCGAAUACCGAAGAAUGUUAUCACGGGAGACACACGGCGGGUGCUAACGUCCGUCGUGAAGAGGGAAACAACCCAGACCGCCAGCUAAGGUCCCAAAGUCAUGGUUAAGUGGGAAACGAUGUGGGAAGGCAUAGACAGCCAGGAUGUUGGCUUAGAAGCAGCCAUCAUUUAAAGAAAGCGUAAUAGCUCACUGGUCGAGUCGGCCUGCGCGGAAGAUGUAACGGGGCUAAACCAUGCACCGAAGCUGCGGCAGCGANNNNNNNNNNNNNNNNNNNNNNNNNNNNNNNNNNNNNNNNNNNNNNNNNNNNNNNNNNNNNNNNNNNNNNNNNNNNNNNNNNNNNNNNNNNNNNNNNNNNGACUUGGUAAAUCCGGUUGCUUAUCAACGCUGAGGUGUGAUGACGAGCCACUACGGUGGUGAAGUAGUUGAUGCCAAGCUUCCAGGAAAAGCCUCUAAGCAUCAGGUGACAUUCAAUCGUACCCCAAACCGACACAGGUGGUCAGGUAGAGAAUACUCAGGCGCUUGAGAGAACUCGGGUGAAGGAACUAGGCAAAAUGGUGCCGUAACUUCGGGAGAAGGCACGCUGGCAUUAGGUAAAGAGACUUGCUCUCGGCGCCGAAGCCAGUCGCAGAUACCAGCUGGCUGCAACUGUUUAAUAAAAACACAGCACUGUGCAAACACGAAAGUGGACGUAUACGGUGUGACGCCUGCCCGGUGCUGGAAGGUUAAUUGAUGGGGUCAGCCGCAAGGCGAAGCUCUUGAUCGAAGCCCCAGUAAACGGCGGCCGUAACUAUAACGGUCCUAAGGUAGCGAAAUUCCUUGUCGGGUAAGUUCCGACCUGCACGAAUGGCGUAAUGAUGGCCAGGCUGUCUCCACCCGAGACUCAGUGAAAUUGAACUCGCUGUGAAGAUGCAGUGUACCCGCGGCAAGACGGAAAGACCCCGUGAACCUUUACUAUAGCUUGACACUGAAUAUUGAGCCUUGAUGUGUAGGAUAGGUGGGAGGCAUCGAAGCGUGGACGCCAGUCUGCGUGGAGCCAACCUUGAAAUACCACCCUUUAAUGUUUGAUGUUCUAACUCGGCCCCAUAAUCUGGGGUGAGGACAGUGUCUGGUGGGUAGUUUGACUGGGGCGGUCUCCUCCCAAAGAGUAACGGAGGAGCACGAAGGUUAGCUAAUCACGGUCGGACAUCGUGAGGUUAGUGCAAAGGCAUAAGCUAGCUUGACUGCGAGAGUGACGGCUCGAGCAGGUACGAAAGUAGGUCUUAGUGAUCCGGUGGUUCUGAAUGGAAGGGCCAUCGCUCAACGGAUAAAAGGUACUCCGGGGAUAACAGGCUGAUACCGCCCAAGAGUUCAUAUCGACGGCGGUGUUUGGCACCUCGAUGUCGGCUCAUCACAUCCUGGGGCUGAAGUAGGUCCCAAGGGUAUGGCUGUUCGCCAUUUAAAGUGGUACGCGAGCUGGGUUUAGAACGUCGUGAGACAGUUCGGUCCCUAUCUGCCGUGGGCGUUGGAAGAUUGAGAGGGGCUGCUCCUAGUACGAGAGGACCGGAGUGGACGCAUCACUGGUGUUCGGGUUGUCAUGCCAAUGGCAUUGCCCGGUAGCUAAAUGCGGAAAAGAUAAGCGCUGAAAGCAUCUAAGCGCGAAACUUGCCUCGAGAUGAGUCUUCCCUGGGGCUUUAAGCCCCCUGAAGGAACGUUAAAGACUAUGACGUUGAUAGGCUGGGUGUGUAAGUGCAGCGAUGCAUUGAGCUAACCAGUACUAAUGAUCCGUGAGGCUUAACCUU